Molecule: ribosomal RNA, 494 nt
Filed under: uncultured bacterium
Lineage: Bacteria
Description: bacterial SSU rRNA
Rfam family: Bacterial small subunit ribosomal RNA
Source: RNAcentral
CGCUGGCGGCGUGCCUAAUACAUGCAAGUCGAGCGGAAUGAUGAAGAAGCUUGCUUCUUCUGAUUUUAGCGGCGGACGGGUGAGUAACACGUGGGCAACCUACCUUGUAGAUUGGGGUAACUCCGGGAAACCGGGGCUAAUACCGAAUAAUCCAUUUUGCUUCAUGGCGAGAUGUUAAAAGGCGGCUUCGGCUGUCGCUACGAGAUGGGCCCGCGGCGCAUUAGCUAGUUGGUAGGGUAAUGGCCUACCAAGGCGACGAUGCGUAGCCGACCUGAGAGGGUGAUCGGCCACACUGGGACUGAGACACGGCCCAGACUCCUACGGGAGGCAGCAGUAGGGAAUCUUCCACAAUGGACGAAAGUCUGAUGGAGCAACGCCGCGUGAGUGAAGAAGGUUUUCGGAUCGUAAAACUCUGUUGUAAGGGAAGAACACGUACGAGAGUAACUGCUCGUACCUUGACGGUACCUUAUUAGAAAGCCACGGCUAACUACGUG